GGCUUAAUUUGACUCAACGCGGGAAAUCUUACCGGGUCCGGACACACUGAGGAUUGACAGACAAAUAUGGAAAUUUUAUAUUUCUCAUAUAUAAAGAUGCUAGUUCUUUCAUGAUUAUGUGAUAGGUGGUGCAUGGCCGUUCUUAGUUCGUGGAGUGAUCUGUCUGCUUAAUUGCGUUUCAAUUUUUAUUAUGUAUACGUAUGACCCACGUUUACGCGUGCGAGUCUAGUAUGCUAUCAUUUGAAAGCAACGAACGUGACCGUAUCCUUUUAUUAUAUACGCACGCGUAUAUUUAUUCAUUAAAGGGACCGCUGUUUCUUUUUUUAAACCAGAGGAAGGUUACGGCAAUAACAGGUCUGUGAUGC
RNAcentral lists this ribosomal RNA (365 nucleotides) under Elphidium williamsoni. RNAcentral's name for it is "SSU rRNA". It matches the Rfam family "Eukaryotic small subunit ribosomal RNA", at positions 1187 to 1470 of the family's 1831-position model. Lineage: Eukaryota; Foraminifera; Rotaliida; Elphidiidae. The record is from RNAcentral.